CAUUUAAAGAGACAAAACAAUUUUGUUCUCUACCUAAUUUGGGCCAAUAUGCAAUAACCACAACUUUUGGGCUAUCUUGCAAUUAACCUCAACUUUUGGGCUAUAUUGCAAAAACAAAAACUUUUGGGGUCACUUUGUAAAAUCACAAAAGUCCACUACUUCAUGAAAUUACAACUAGAACCCAAAAUUUUAAUAAUGCAAAAACAUCAUUAAAGGAGCAAAACAAUUUAUCCUUUAGCGUUUUUGGAUCUAAACGUAAAAACGUAAACUUUAGGCCAAAGUGCAAAUACACAAAAGUAUCAAAACUUUAUGUAAUUGCAUAAAAGGCCCCAAAAGUACCCCCACUAGGGGGUGGCCGGCUUUGGAAGAGGAUAGAGUGAUGUGUGUGUUGAUUUGUGAGUUUUAGACAUAAAGCAACAAGUGGUGCAAGUGGUGUGUGUGAAAGGGAAUUAAUCCUUACACACCCAUCACCAUUUCCAUCACCAUUCAAAUAAAUAUCUUAUGCAAUAAAUCAUUUGAAAAACAUAAAACAUAAACUUUAUGAAAUAAAUCAAAACUUUGAAUCAAAACACAAACCUUUUUGUUCUUGGCUAAAAUGUCAAGAACAAUGAAGAACACUCAUGAAAAACCCAAAAUUUUUCCAUGAACAUUUUUCACCCAAAAACAUUCCAAAAACAUUCAAACUUAAGGGAAAUAACAUCUAACCAAACUAGGGUACAUAGGGGUUCCAAAAGUCACUUGAAAACACUUUUAACAAGUCAAACAAGAACCCAAAAAUCCACCCUUUGUAUUUGGCCGAAAAUCCCCAAAGUCAUGGCACCAAAUUUUAGCUCCAAUAUUCAUGCUCAUAUGAACUACAUCUACAACAUUUGAGAUGGCAAAUUUUCAAACAAAAUUUACAUUCAAAGAAGCAAGAAUAAAGCUUGUAACAAUUACAACUUUUAAAUCACAAACUAUGAACUACAAAACACAAAAGGAUUCACCAACUACUAGACCUAGGCUCUGAUACCACUUGUAGGAAGAUUUUGUGAAAACAUGUUCAUUUAAGCAACAUCAAUAAGCAUGCAAUUAACAAUUAAAGGUGGAAUCAUGCUUGCAUGCACUUAAAAACAAAACAUUAACCAUGAAAUUCAAAGCCUAGUAGAUUGGUGAACCAUUAAUCAACUCAAAUCAAAGUGAGUUGAGAAAUAUACCUUUGUAGAUUCCUCUUUGCAUAAGCAAAGGCUAAUCACCCAAAGAGAGGGCCUUCAUUCCUUGCAUAUUAAAUCUAUAGAUUUGGAUGGAAGAAUAGGAUUCUCCAAGUUCCCAAAAUAGAGAACCUCUAAGUCUCUUCACCAAGGAGAGAUUGGAGAAGAAAUGAGUGACCUUGGAGUAGUGGUAUUGCUAGAUGCACCCUCCAAGGGGACCGACCUCUUUAGAGAGAAAUGGAGAGACAUGUUCUCUCCAAUUUUCUCCAAAACAAACCCUUAAUGAAUUUUGGUUAUAAAGUCAUAUUUAUACCUUUAUUCAUUUGAGUGGCAAACUUGUAAAUAAGUCCAAGUUCACUACCCUUAACCAUAUGGCCGGCCUUAGGGUGUUGUUUGGGCUUUUAGGCUUUUGUGAAUUAAGUUGUCAUACAACUUAAGUCAAUGGGCUUGACGUUCGAAGCCCAAUGGGCCUAAACGUCCAAAACUAUCCCGAGGUCUUUAACGAACUUAUUCGUUUGAUUAAUUAACAUAUUAAUUAAUCCUUGCCAUAAAUAAUUAAACCAUUUAAUUAUUCUUACUCAUCUCCAUUAU
This 1778-nucleotide long non-coding RNA is filed under the name Malus domestica (apple). RNAcentral's name for it is "long non-coding RNA (MDOM_LNC005877)". Lineage: Eukaryota; Viridiplantae; Streptophyta; Magnoliopsida; Rosales; Rosaceae. The record is from RNAcentral.